GUAAUACACGAGUGGUGAACGUAUUCAUAGUGAUUAGGCGUGAAGGAUGUCUAGGUGGUUAAAAUAACUUGUUUAAAUAUAAAUAAUAGAGAAAUAUUUAGCACAACGUAUUAUUUAUUCUUGAGUAUUAAAUUGUAAUUUAAUUUGUAGAUAAAGCGAUGAAAUGCACCUAAAUUUGCAAAUUAACCAUGUUCACGACAAUUACUUUUUUAUACUGACGCUGAACCAUGAAAGUAUGGGAAACAAAUCGGAUUUGAGACCCUAUUAGUCCAUACUGUAAACUUUAGAUAUUAAUAUUUACGUGAAAUAUCUCGUCUUGAUAGUAUAGUCGCAAGGCUAAAAUUAAACAGAAUUGGGGGGGAAUUGUGACGAACGGUGGAGUAUGUGGUUUAAUACGAUAAUCCGCGCAAAACCUUACCAAUGUUUUUUUAUAAUUAAUUGUUUAACCUUUUUUUUGAUUUUUAUAAUCAAAUUAAUUAUUAAUUUAUAAGCAUAAGUGCUGCAUGGCUGUCGUCAGUUUGUACUUUGAUGUGUCGGAUUAAGUUCUAUAACAAACGCAACCCUUAAAAAUAAUGAUCAAAAUAAUUUAAAUGAUUCUUAAUAAAAUAUCUUCUAGAAAUAUUAUAAAAUUUAUCUUCUAUAUAAAUAUUAACUGGUAGAGGUCAAGUCCACAUGGCCUGUAUACAUUGGGCGACACACGUACUACAAUGGUAAAAACAAAUAGAAACAAUGAAGCAAUUUAGAGUUUAGCUAUAAAAAUUAUCAUGUUCGGAUCCUAGACUGUAACUUGUCUGAGUAAAGAUGGAAUCGUUAGUAAUCAUAUACAAGUUUGAUAUGGUGAAUGUAAAGUCAGUUCUUGCACACACCGCCCAUCGCACUCGGAGAAUUGGGUGUAGUAUAAUUGCUAGUUAUAAGUCCUUUUUAAUACGUAUGAAAUAUUUUUUUUUUUUUAAUAAAUAUAAAGUGAUAAGCAAUAUAAUAUGUUUGGCUGUUUGAGUUA
This 1000-nucleotide ribosomal RNA is filed under the name Urceolaria mitra. RNAcentral's name for it is "partial large subunit ribosomal RNA". It matches the Rfam family "Bacterial small subunit ribosomal RNA", at positions 520 to 1533 of the family's 1533-position model. The record is from RNAcentral. Lineage: Eukaryota; Ciliophora; Oligohymenophorea; Mobilida; Trichodinidae.